AGAGUUUGAUCCUGGCUCAGAAUGAACGCUGGCGGCAGCUAAAACAUGCAAGUCGAGUGGCGCACGGGUGAGUAACACGUGGGAAUAUGCCUUUUGGUACGGAACAACUCUGGAAACGGCUAAUACCGUAUGGUCCUCCGGUAAAGAUCGCCAAAAGAUUAGCCCGCGUCUGAUUAGCUAGUUGGUGGGUAAUGGUCACCAAGGCGACGAUCAGUAGCUGGUCUGAAGGACGAUCAGCCACACUGGGACUGAGACACGGCCCAGACUCUACGGGAGGCAGCAGUUAGGAAUAUUGGACAAUGGGCGCAAGCCUGAUCCAGCCAUGCCGCGUGAGUGAUGAAGCUUCGGGUUGUAAAGCUCUUUAGUCCACGAAUAUAAUGACUGUAGUGGAAGAAUAAGCCCCGGCUAACUUCGUGCCGCAGCCGCGGUAAUACGAAGGGGGCGAGCGUUAUUCGGAAUCACUGGGCGUAAAGCGUGCGUAGGCUGUUUGUAAGUCAGAAGUGAAAGCCCGGGCUUAACCCGGAAUUGCUUUUGAAACUACAAACUCGAAUUCGGGAGAGGAUAGCGGAAUGUCAGUGUAGCAGUGAAAUGCGUAGAUAUUGACGGAACACCAGUGGCGCAAGCGGCUAUCUGGACCGAUAUUGACGCUGAGGCACGAAAGCGUGGGGAGCAAACAGGAUUAGAUACCCUGGUAGUCCACGCCGUAAACGAUGUGAGUUUGUCGCUGGAUUCGGUGACUAGUUAACGCGUUAAACUCCCGCCUGGGAAGUACGGCCGCAAGUUAAACUCAAAGGAAUUGACGG
This 803-nucleotide ribosomal RNA is filed under the name uncultured bacterium. RNAcentral's name for it is "bacterial SSU rRNA". It matches the Rfam family "Bacterial small subunit ribosomal RNA", at positions 8 to 916 of the family's 1533-position model. The record is from RNAcentral.